This 253-nucleotide ribosomal RNA is filed under the name uncultured bacterium. Its description in RNAcentral is "partial 16S ribosomal RNA". It matches the Rfam family "Bacterial small subunit ribosomal RNA", at positions 524 to 776 of the family's 1533-position model. The record is from RNAcentral.
UACGUAGGGUGCAAGCGUUGUCCGGAAUUAUUGGGCGUAAAGAGCUUGUAGGCGGUUUGUCGCGUCUGCUGUGAAAUUUCGGGGCUCAACCCCGAACUUGCAGUGGGUACGGGCAGACUAGAGUGUGGUAGGGGAGACUGGAAUUCCUGGUGUAGCGGUGAAAUGCGCAGAUAUCAGGAGGAACACCGAUGGCGAAGGCAGGUCUCUGGGCCAUAACUGACGCUGAGAAGCGAAAGCAUGGGGAGCAAACGGG